This 83-nucleotide transfer RNA is filed under the name Lentinula aciculospora. It matches the Rfam family "tRNA". From Rfam's summary of the family: Transfer RNA (tRNA) molecules are approximately 80 nucleotides in length. Their secondary structure includes four short double-helical elements and three loops (D, anti-codon, and T loops). The record is from Rfam by way of RNAcentral. Lineage: Eukaryota; Fungi; Basidiomycota; Agaricomycetes; Agaricales; Omphalotaceae.
ACACCGUUGGUGAAGUGGUUAUCAUGCUUGCCUUCCAUAUUUGGGUUUAGCAAGCGGCUCGGGUUCGAUUCCCGAACGGUGUA